This 499-nucleotide ribosomal RNA is filed under the name uncultured Chryseobacterium sp. Its description in RNAcentral is "bacterial SSU rRNA". It matches the Rfam family "Bacterial small subunit ribosomal RNA", at positions 505 to 1005 of the family's 1533-position model. The record is from RNAcentral. Lineage: Bacteria; Pseudomonadati; Bacteroidota; Flavobacteriia; Flavobacteriales; Weeksellaceae.
GUGCUAGCAACCGCGGUAAUGCGGAGGGUGCAAGCGUUAUCCGGAUUUAUUGGGUUUAAAGGGUCCGUAGGCGGAUGCGUAAGUCAGUGGUGAAAUCUCACAGCUCAACUGUGAAACUGCCAUUGAUACUGCGUGUCUUGAGUGAGGUUGAAGUAGCUGGAAUAAGUAGUGUAGCGGUGAAAUGCAUAGAUAUUACUUAGAACACCAAUUGCGAAGGCAGGUUACUAAGUCUCAACUGACGCUGAUGGACGAAAGCGUGGGGAGCGAACAGGAUUAGAUACCCUGGUAGUCCACGCUGUAAACGAUGCUAACUCGUUUUUGGGGAUUUAUCUUCAGAGACUAAGCGAAAGUGAUAAGUUAGCCACCUGGGGAGUACGAACGCAAGUUUGAAACUCAAAGGAAUUGACGGGGGCCCGCUCAAGCGGUGGAUUAUGUGGUUUAAUUCGAUGAUACGCGAGGAACCUUACCAAGGCUUAAAUGGGAAUUGAUCGGUUUAGAA